CAGCAUAGAGUAGCAAUACUUUGAUGGCGACCGGCGCACGGGUGAGUAACACGUAUGCAACCUACCUACAUCAGGGGAAUAACCCGGAGAAAUUCGGACUAAUACCGCAUAAUACAGGGAUGCCGCAUGGCAAUAUUUGUUAAAGAUUUAUCGGAUGUAGAUGGGCAUGCGUUCCAUUAGCUAGUUGGUAAGGUAACGGCUUACCAAGGCAACGAUGGAUAGGGGAACUGAGAGGUUUGUCCCCCACACUGGAACUGAGACACGGACCAGACUCCUACGGGAGGCAGCAGUGAGGAAUAUUGGUCAAUGGACGAGAGUCUGAACCAGCCAAAUCGCGUGAAGGAAGACUGCCCUACGGGUUGUAAACUUCUUUUGUACAGGAAUAAAAGACAUUACGUGUAAUGUAUUGCAUGUACUGUACGAAUAAGCAUCGGCUAACUCCGUGCCAGCAGCCGCGGUAAUACGGAGGAUGCGAGCGUUAUCCGGAUUUAUUGGGUUUAAAGGGUGCGCAGGCGGGAUUUUAAGUCAGCGGUGAAAUUUUCAGGCUCAACCUGAACACUGCCGUUGAAACUGGGAUUCUUGAGUAUGGAUGAAGUAGGCGGAAUUCGUUGUGUAGCGGUGACAUGCUUAGAUAUAACGAGGAACUCCGAUUGCGUAGGCAGCUUACUAAGCCAUAACUGACGCUCAAGCACGAAAGCGUGGGGAUCAAACAGGAUUAGAUACCCUGGUAGUCCACGCCGUANACGAUGAUUACUAGUUGUUUGCGAUAUACCGUAAGUGACUAAGCGAAAGCGAUAAGUAAUCCACCUGGGGAGUACGCCGGCAACGGUGAAACUCNNNGGAAUUGACGGGGGCCCGCACAAGCGGAGGAACAUGUGGUUUAAUUCGAUGAUACGCGAGGAACCCUUACCGGGCUUGAAUGUAC
This 925-nucleotide ribosomal RNA is filed under the name uncultured bacterium. RNAcentral describes it as "bacterial SSU rRNA". It matches the Rfam family "Bacterial small subunit ribosomal RNA", at positions 67 to 990 of the family's 1533-position model. The record is from RNAcentral.